Molecule: long non-coding RNA, 717 nt
Organism: Zingiber officinale
Lineage: Eukaryota; Viridiplantae; Streptophyta; Magnoliopsida; Zingiberales; Zingiberaceae
Exons: 2
Source: RefSeq, a predicted model, not a curated record
GAAAAAAUUGAAAACACGGACGAGAAAUUGAAAACGCGGACAAAAAAUUGAAAAAUGCGGUCAAUAAUUUUUCAUUUUCUUUGACCUUAUCGCCUUUUUUUCCUCCUCUUCAUCCCAAAUCCCGCACCGAGCUCCUCUCCCCGUACCCUAAAACGUCAUUUCCGCCGCUCCUCUCCCCGUGCCCUAACAUCGGGCCUCCGCCGCUCCUCUCCCCGUCCCUAACCUCGUGCUUCUGUCGCACCACCGCUCCUCCUUCACCCCCUGUUGCUCACACACCGCCACCCCUUUGCUAGUUCCGCAUCCCGUCUGUCGAGCUCGUCUCCUCCAUAUUUUCCCGUGAUCCCUUCCGUUCGUUGCAUCCUCGACACAUUGCGCGCGGUCCCCUUCCGUCCAUUGCCUCCUCCACAAAUUGGGCGUGCAGUCACUUCCAUUUAUUGGGAAUUUGAGUCCACAUUUUCAAGGUAGCUUCCUCAAACUACUCCCUACAUAAGUGGAGGUGCCUGAAAGCUUGGAAUCAUCUUCUCACUCGAGCAGUUCUUCUCUACAAAGAUAGCAAAAAGCUCGACGAACUUUGAAACACAUGUACAACAAAGAAACUAUGGCAUCGCGCAGAGCUAUUUUGUACUCCUGGUUUUGUACAUAGAAAAUAUAUGACAGUAUUAUCAGCAUGUUUACCUGUAAAUUUGUGGAUCCAAGUUCGUAAAUUUACUUUUGGAU